Long non-coding RNA from Vollenhovia emeryi, 2742 nucleotides. RefSeq lists it as uncharacterized. The transcript has 2 exons. The record is from RefSeq and is a predicted model, not a curated record. NCBI's taxonomy places the organism in Eukaryota, Metazoa, Arthropoda, Insecta, Hymenoptera, Formicidae.
GAAGCCGUGCAUGCAUCGACGGAACCCGACGAGACAACCAGUGGAAUUUACUUUGGUGCGCGCGAUAGAUCGGCCCUUUAGAUCGCACGCGCCAUCAGCCAAUAUGCUUACUUUUCUUUCUCCGCAGGGGUCUUAAGCUCCUAUAAUUCUUCCUCAUUCUUUUUCAUUUCUAAGUAAAACCGUGUAUCACAAGAUGGAACAAGAUAUGGCCAAUAACGCCAAAAGACGAAUGUCUAAAUGUCCUCCUUAUUAAGCACAGAAAAUACAGUAUUUCAACACCGUGUUCGACUAAGAGAUGACCCGUCAUACAAAUCGUGUCUAGCCUCUACGUCAAACAGAUAAUCGAUGGAACACACAAGGAAGAACUUUUUAUAUUACAUCGUCCAACUUGUGUAGUCAAACUACUAGGUGGAUGAGAAGAUCGAGAUUCAUGUUCCAUAAGUAUUAGUUUCCAAAGAUUUUUUUCAACAAAAUUUUGAGCUUCUUUUUUGAAAUAAACAUCCAAGAAAAUUGCGGGUGGAGAAGUAUACCUUCAAUUCCGCAGACAUGAUCUUUCACGUGUCCGCAGACGCGCUCAUGUGAUGCAUGACAAUGUGCCGUCAAGAUAAAGCAACGAUCGAUCCAAUGAAAGAAGACAAGAUGAAAAAUAUGCGGCCAGACAAUUUACAACACGCUCUAUCUCAUCCACCUCUUUCUGCUUUGACCUACAACAUUCGUUCAUUCGCAACAAGUUACACGCAUCUCUGCGCCGUUAAAAAUUGCCAGUACAUACAUUUGCACCGUAAAUUUUGGCUUGGAGCAAAUUAUUAUUAGCGCGAUUUAGUGCGCGCGAGUGAGAUAGUAAUCGGUUCUGUGAUCAGAAACCAUUAGGUGCUUGCGUCUCAUCUCUUUCUUCCUCUCGGUUAGUCGUAAAAACUUUCAGUAUCUUUGAGACUUGAGACGAAACGAAGAAGAAAAGGCAAAAGGAAUCUUUUUGACCAAGAGACUAAACUGGGCGAAUGUGGCGCUGAGAAAUGUGCACUGCUUAGUAAACAAAUGAACGAAAAGACCCGAGUUCAAGUGGCAACCAUCGAGAGUAUCCUGCCACACAUACCUCUUUAGGGGUAUAGCUCUCCAGCUGGGAGGUUUCCUUCGGCAAGGUUAUAGCAGCCUACCGAAGAUGAAGUAAAACAAAAUGCUCCAAGUACCAGAACGAGAACUGUAUGCGAAAUGUAUAUUGCAGAAAAAUUGGUAAACUGAAUUUCCAACCAAAUUAGUCAGAGUCAUUAUAUCUGGAGGUUCGGUCCAAUUUCAACUUUUAAGUAAAAAUAUUCUUUGCGUCUUUGUGAGUUUUCCACAAUUAAUGAAUGUUUAUAAUUACAGAAUCUCAUAAUCAUUGUCGUCUUUUUAUGACCAUUUUUGAAUUUACAAUUUUCCAAAAGUCUUUUCCAAAUCUUUUUUAGAUAGAGAGACAGAGAAAGAGAGAUAUAGGGGUCUUACUUUACUUCAAAUCUUGUCAAAACAAAGUUUACUUUAAAUUAAACGAAACGAAAUUCUAUUUAAAAAAAAUUUAAUUUUUCAGGCUUUCUAUUACACACUAUACCUAAACAAUUGGAGAAUUAUCAAGACUUUACCUUUGAAAAUAAAAACAUGGAUUUUUCUCAUUUGUGCUUGAAAUAGAUAACUAUACUGCCCAGUACGGCGAAAGUUGCAAGACAUAUUUUCUUUAAAGUUGCUCAUACUGUAUACCUAUUUUUCUAACAAAUGUCCAUUGUAGAAGAUGCAUUUGGAAGGAAAAUGUACAUCGGCGUUUCUUACUUGAAUGUCACGAUAGUGACGUUUAUACACGUGAUGUUUAGACGUGCUGGUUUUACGUCGAGCGAUUCACAGGGUAAGCGUGUGCGAGUAUCCUAUGAAAUUUACGCUUGUGUUUGCAUUCCUAUAGACGACAUAGCGUCCAAUUAAAUGUUUGAUAUAAGGAUGUCAAGUCCACCAUGUUUUGACUUUUGUGGUGAUGCGUCUCGCUGCGAAACGACGCGACGUCGAGAAAAUUUCGGGUAAUUCGCGAGAAUAGCGAGAAUUCAAACAGCUACAAAAUGUAAAAUUAUCGCGACAUGUUAAGUACAGCAGAUGCUGCGAUCAAGAUGGACACUUGUUGUGUGCAAAAAAUAUUAAAACCCAAAAACCCUCGUUUGCAAUGUCUGUAUAUCGCAUUGAUAAAUAAACUCUGGACAUUUACCUCCUUAUUAUCGCGAUAAUAUACAAUUUUUGCAUUUUCACAAAGUUACAUUUAGAUACUAAAACGUAAAAAAUGAUAUUAGUGAAUAAGUUUAAUUUCUAAACUGAAAUAAAAACGGUUCUUCAAGACAAAUAUUCUCUUGAUAUGUAGAAGCAGUAUCGCGUAAAGGCUGUGUCGUCGUAAAAGUGUUUGUGCCGUGCUUGAGCUGUCGCCAUUUGUAACAUGAAAUGGAGACGAAUUUAUAACAUGAACGGAACAUCAACUCAACAUUGUCACGCUUAAUCUCUUUAUUAGAUUAGUAACUUUGCGAUUUCAAAGAGAGAGAGAGAGAGGACUAAGAAACUAAUUUUGCUAAUAGGGUGGACAGAUAUACUCCUAUCAAAUAUAUGUAUAUUUUAUGUGUAAAAUAAAAUACUGAUAUUUUUAUAAAAAUGUCAACAUAUAUACAUAUACAUACAGCGUCCAAUAUUACAAUAAAAUUUAAGAAAUUUUUUACAGAAGCUAAUAAAUCACUAAUGUCUCAA